Molecule: unclassified non-coding RNA, 259 nt
Filed under: plant metagenome
Description: partial contains small subunit ribosomal RNA and internal transcribed spacer 1
Rfam family: Eukaryotic small subunit ribosomal RNA (bases 1-46)
Source: RNAcentral
AAGUCGUAACAAGGUUUCCGUAGGUGAACCUGCGGAAGGAUCAUUAAAAGUGAUUGGUUAUACAUUUCAUGUAUCAACUGCAUUAACCCAUUCCGAGUACCUUGCCUGUUGCUUCCAUGGGGCCUGACCUAGGUCACUCUUGUGAUGUGAAAACCCCAAAGAGGUCCAGUGGCCAUGGGAUAGUCAAUUAAUCAUUGAAUUCAUGCUAAUCCGUCAUUCGUGCUUCUGAUCUGACUUAGUUUAAACAAAAUGUUAAAAA